This 632-nucleotide ribosomal RNA is filed under the name uncultured bacterium. Its description in RNAcentral is "bacterial SSU rRNA". It matches the Rfam family "Bacterial small subunit ribosomal RNA", at positions 875 to 1502 of the family's 1533-position model. The record is from RNAcentral.
CUGGGGGAGUGACGGUCGCAAGAUUAAAAAUUAAAUGAAUUGACGGGGGCCCGCACAAGCGGUGGAGCAUGUGGUUUAAUUUUGAUGCAACGCGAAGAACCUUACCUACUCUUGACAUCUACAGAAGCCAGCGGAGACGCAGGUGUGCCUUCGGGAACUGUAAGACAGGUGCUGCAUGGCUGUCGUCAGCUCGUGUUGUGAAAUGUUGGGUUAAGUCCCGCAACGAGCGCAACCCUUAUCCUUGUUUGCCAGCACUUCGGGUGGGAACUCCAGGGAGACUGCCGGUGAUAAACCGGAGGAAGGUGGGGACGACGUCAAGUCAUCAUGGCCCUUACGAGUAGGGCUACACACGUGCUACAAUGGCGCAUACAGAGGGCGGCCAACUUGCGAAAGUGAGCGAAUCCCAAAAAGUGCGUCGUAGUCCGGAUUGGAGUCUGCAACUCGACUCCAUGAAGUCGGAAUCGCUAGUAAUCGUGGAUCAGAAUGCCACGGUGAAUACGUUCCCGGGCCUUGUACACACCGCCCGUCACACCAUGGGAGUGGGCUGCAAAAGAAGUGGGUAGUUUAACCUUCGGGAGGACGCUCACCACUUUGUGGUUCAUGACUGGGGUGAAGUCGUAACAAGGUAACCG